Molecule: small nuclear RNA, 107 nt
Organism: Phyllostomus discolor (pale spear-nosed bat)
Lineage: Eukaryota; Metazoa; Chordata; Mammalia; Chiroptera; Phyllostomidae
Source: RefSeq, a predicted model, not a curated record
GUGCUUGCUUCAGCGGCACAUGUACUAAAAUUGGAACCAUACAGAGAAGAUUAGCAUGGCCCCUACGCAAGGAUGACACACAAGUUUAUGAAGCGUUCCUAUUUUUA